RNAcentral lists this ribosomal RNA (253 nucleotides) under uncultured bacterium. RNAcentral describes it as "partial 16S ribosomal RNA". It matches the Rfam family "Bacterial small subunit ribosomal RNA", at positions 524 to 776 of the family's 1533-position model. The record is from RNAcentral.
UACGGAGGGUGCAAGCGUUAUCCGGAUUCACUGGGUUUAAAGGGUGCGUAGGUGGUUUUGUAAGUCAGUGGUGAAAGCCCGGAGCUCAACUCCGGAACUGCCAUUGAUACUGCUUAACUUGGAUCAACUUGAGGUGGAUGGAAUAUUACAUGUAGCGGUGAAAUGCUUAGAUAUGUAAUAGAACACCGAUUGCGAAGGCAGUUCACUAAGGUUGUAUUGACACUGAGGCACGAAAGCGUGGGGAUCAAACAGG